UUGAGUUUCUGAGCUCGCCGAGCGGCGGUCUUUGGCCGACCACUCCGCAAGUUCAUCCUCGCCCCUCGGGGCGUCAUUUACUGUGAAAAAAUUAGAGUGUUUAAAGCAGGCUUUAGGCUUGAAUACAUUAGCAUGGAAUAAUGAGAUAGGACCAAGUCGUAUUUUGUUGGUUGCGCGAUUCGGUAAUGAUUAAUAGGGACAGUUGGGGGUAUUCAUAUUUAAUUGUCAGAGGUGAAAUUCUUAGAUUUAUUAAAGAUGAACUACUGCGAAAGCAUUUACCAAGGAUGCUUUCAUUAAUCAAGAACGAAAGUCAGGGGAUCGAAGAGGAUUAGAUACCCUCGUAGUCUUGACCAUAAACUAUGCCGACUCAGGAUUGGUACCCUUUUUUAACAGGGUGUCAGCACUGUAUGAAAAAUCAAAGUCUUUGGGUUCCAAGGGGAGUAUGGUCGCAAGGCUGAAACUUAGAGGAAUUGACGGAAGGGCACCACCAGGAGUGGAGCCUGCGGCUUAAUUUGACUCAACACGGGGAAACUUACCAGGUC
Molecule: ribosomal RNA, 542 nt
Filed under: uncultured marine eukaryote
Lineage: Eukaryota
Description: SSU rRNA
Rfam family: Eukaryotic small subunit ribosomal RNA
Source: RNAcentral